Molecule: ribosomal RNA, 251 nt
Filed under: uncultured prokaryote
Description: partial 16S rRNA
Rfam family: Bacterial small subunit ribosomal RNA
Source: RNAcentral
ACGGAGGGUGCAAGCGUUAAUCGGAAUUACUGGGCGUAAAGCGCACGCAGGCGGUUUGUUAAGUCAGAUGUGAAAUCCCCGGGCUCAACCUGGGAACUGCAUCUGAUACUGGAAAGCUUGAGUCUCGUAGAGGGGGGUAGAAUUCCAGGUGUAGCAGUGAAAUGCGUAGAGAUGCGGAGGAAUACCGAUGGCGAAGGCGGCCCCCUGGGCCAGGACUGACGCUCAGGCGCGAAAGCGUGGGGAGCAAACAG